Molecule: long non-coding RNA, 1439 nt
Filed under: Coffea arabica (coffee)
Lineage: Eukaryota; Viridiplantae; Streptophyta; Magnoliopsida; Gentianales; Rubiaceae
Description: long non-coding RNA (CARA_LNC008316)
Source: RNAcentral
GAUAAAACAAGCGCUUCGGGCACAGUCUGAGAACUUGUUCUCACCUCUCUCUAUAUGGUUGCUCCGUUGCCGCUGUUAAUGCCAUAUCAGUAACCUUAGCUAUUGAAUCGGCUGGAAACGGAAUAACACCAGUUAGGUGGCUAGCUAGAAGCAUUCCAGGCUAGGUAUUUAAGAGCUGAUUCUUUUCAUGUGCAGCAGCUAGAGAGAAUGGCCUAAAAGCAGUACGGAUUCGGACAUGGGAGCAUUAGGAAGAUUCUUUCUAGCUUAUGUGAUUCACCUUUGAAUCAUGUGAGUCACUCCAAAAAUAAGGGUAGUGUACUCCCUUCUUAGAGAGAAAGAAAUGCUUGAACAACCUAUUCUCAAACAACGUAUUCUAGCAGCGCAUUCUCUAACAUUCAAUUCUCUGAGAUUUCCUGGUAUUCAAGUAGCUAGGGAUAGAUUCAAUACGAGGUGUAAAAGAGCAAGGGCAGUACUCUGUCUGUCAUUGAGUGAACUUACCUUCCUUAUUCUUAUUCUUCUGCUUGAUGGGAUCGUUAUGAUUGAUUCAAUCCCUUCUUCAGCCAAAGCUGAACCCAAAACAUAAGCAAGAGGUCCUGAGACAGACGACCUAUGAGACUGCUUUCCUAAAUUCCCCUCGGCUCGGUAUCAAAUCAAGGAAGAUUGUGCACUAAAUCAAAUCACCAGGUCUGAGCUUAAAGCUCCAAGAAGGAUUGGCUCUCCACCUCUCACAUCCAAGUAACUAAAAAAUCUUUCCUGUGUAAGAUCCAAGGGAGUCUAAGACUUAAACUAAACCCUGGGAUUUCCUGUAUCCAAGGAAGAAUAAGAAUCCUCAUCUACACGAUCGCUAUCAAGGUUGUGAGCUGUCAGAGCUCAAAGGUUUUUGAGUAUGCCCCCUUAUUCCCAUAUCGCUAGGGAUUUGUUGAAUAUGAGGAAUCAACUGCAAUUCCCCUUGAGAUCAAGUUAGAAGAAUCAUCUUUUUUGAAUUCCAGUCCUGAUCUCAGAAGAGGAACGACUCACGGGUUUAUGAGGGAGGUUCUUCAAUUCCCGAAUCAGACUCGAGCCGGUCGAACCUUCUUUUCUGAGGGAUUCCCCUUAGAACCAGUUCUCAUCAUUUUUCUAUGUCCUUUGGGUAAGAGCUUUAGAUCUACUAGUCCUAGUUUCCGAACUCGAGCGCGUAGACCUAGUAGGCGAUGAAACUAUUGAAACGGUGAAGAGUAGAGGAGCAACAAGCAACUCGAUGAAGGGCACUCAUAGGGGAGCUCACCAUGCCCCAGAGAACUCAAACAACCUCAUGAAAGGAAAAUCAAUAUGAAGCCCUUGCUUGCAUUUGGGAAUAGAAUAUUGAGAACCGGUGCUGGCUUGAAUAAGAUCCUAAGCAGCUUUUCUUCUGAAUUAGCUGGUCACUGGUGAUGCCAUUCCUUAACGGGGCUUACGAUUCC